CCCCGUGUAGCUCAGUCUGGUAGUUUAGCGUCCGCCUGAAGAGCGGAAGGUCAGUGGUUCAAAUCCACUCGCGGGGA
Molecule: transfer RNA, 77 nt
Filed under: Pseudomonadota bacterium
Lineage: Bacteria; Pseudomonadati; Pseudomonadota
Description: Proteobacteria bacterium tRNA-Phe
Rfam family: tRNA
About the family: Transfer RNA (tRNA) molecules are approximately 80 nucleotides in length. Their secondary structure includes four short double-helical elements and three loops (D, anti-codon, and T loops). Further hydrogen bonds mediate the characteristic L-shaped molecular structure. tRNAs have two regions of fundamental functional importance: the anti-codon, which is responsible for specific mRNA codon recognition, and the 3' end, to which the tRNAs corresponding amino acid is attached (by aminoacyl-tRNA synthetases). tRNAs cope with the degeneracy of the genetic code in two manners: having more than one tRNA (with a specific anti-codon) for a particular amino acid; and 'wobble' base-pairing, i.e. permitting non-standard base-pairing at the 3rd anti-codon position.
Source: RNAcentral